Molecule: ribosomal RNA, 523 nt
Filed under: uncultured archaeon
Lineage: Archaea
Description: bacterial SSU rRNA
Rfam family: Archaeal small subunit ribosomal RNA
Source: RNAcentral
CACGUGGACACCUACCCUUAGGUCGGGGAUAAACCCGGGAAACUGGGUAUAAUACCCGAUAGUCCUCGGAUGCUGGAAUGCACCGAGGUCUAAAGCUCCGGCGCCUAAGGAUGGGUCUGCGGCCUAUCAGGUAGUAGUGGGUGUAGCGUACCUACUAGCCUACGACGGGUACGGGUUGUGAGAGCAAGAGCCCGGAGAUGGAUUCUGAGACACGAAUCCAGGCCCUACGGGGUGCAGCAGGCGCGAAAACUUUACAAUGCUGGAAACAGCGAUAAGGGGACCUCGAGUGCCAGGUUACAAAUCUGGCUGUCGUGAUGCCUAAAAAGCAUUGCAUAGCAAGGGCCGGGCAAGACCGGUGCCAGCCGCCGCGGUAACACCGGCGGCUCGAGUGGUAACCGCUAUUAUUGGGUCUAAAGGGUCUGUAGCCGGCCGGAUAAGUCUUUUGGGAAAUCUGGCAGCUUAACUGUCAGGCUUUCAGAGGAUACUGUCUGGCUCGAGGCCGGGAGAGGUGAGAGGUACUUCA